RNAcentral lists this small RNA (720 nucleotides) under Pongo abelii (Sumatran orangutan). RNAcentral describes it as "processed transcript". The record is from RNAcentral. Lineage: Eukaryota; Metazoa; Chordata; Mammalia; Primates; Hominidae.
GCAUAAAACCACUGGCCACCUGCCGGGCUGCUCCUGCGUGAGCUGCCGUUCCGGAUCCACCGUGCCUCUGCGGCCUGCGUGCCCCCAGUCCCCGCCUGUGUCGUCUCUGUCGCCGUCCCCGCCUCCUGCCAGGCGCGGAGCCCUGCGAGCCGCGGGUGGGCCCCAGGCGCGCAGACAUGGGCUGCUCCGCCAAAGCACGCUGGGCUGCCGGGGCGCUGGGCGUCGCGGGGCUACUGUGCGCGGUGCUGGGCGCUGUCAUGAUCGUGAUGGUGCCGUCGCUCAUCAGGCAGCAGGUCCUCAAGAGUGAAUGAAUGAGUGAUUGAAUGAAGGAUCUGCUUAGAUUUGGCUGCCACACUUCUUGGGACCCAGCUAGCUGGCCUUAAAGAUGGAGCAACAUGUGGUCUCUCUCAAGGUCUCUGGAACGUGCGCAUCGACCCCAGUAGCCUGUCCUUCAACAUGUGGAAGGAGAUCCCCAUCCCCUUUUAUCUCUCCGUCUACUUCUUUGACGUCAUAAACCCCAAUGAGAUCCUGAAGGGCGAGAAGCCGCAGGUGCGGGAGCGCGGGCCCUACGUGUACAGGGAGUUCAGGCACAAGACCAACAUCACCUUCAACAACAACGACACCGUGUCCUUCCUCGAGUACCGCACCUUCCAGUUCCAGCCCUCCAAGUCCCACGGCUCAGAGAGCGACUACAUCGUCAUGCCUAACAUCCUGGUCUUG